UGGGGAAUAUUGCACAAUGGGCGCAAGCCUUAUGCAGCCAUGCCGCGUGUAUGAAGAAGGCCUUCGGGUUGUAAAGUACUUUCAGCGGGGAGGAAGGGAGUAAAGUUAAUACCUUUACUCAUUGACGUUACCCGCAGCAGAAGCACCGGCUAACUCCGUGCCAGCAGCCGCGGUAAUACGGAGGGUGCAGGCGUUAAUCGGAAUUACUUGGCGUAAAGCGCACGCAGGCGGUCUGUCAAGUCGGAUGUGAAAUCCCCGGGCUUAACCUGGGAACUGCAUUCGAAAAUGGCAGGCUAGAGUCAUGUAGAGGGGGGUAGAAUUCCAGGUGUAGCGGUGAAAUGCGUAGAGAUCUGGAGGAAUAACGGUGGCGAAGGCGGCCCCCUGGACAAAGACUGACGCUCAGGUGCGGAAGCGUGGGGAGCAAACAGG
RNAcentral lists this ribosomal RNA (429 nucleotides) under Chloroflexota bacterium. RNAcentral's name for it is "Chloroflexi bacterium partial 16S ribosomal RNA". It matches the Rfam family "Bacterial small subunit ribosomal RNA", at positions 355 to 776 of the family's 1533-position model. The record is from RNAcentral. Lineage: Bacteria; Bacillati; Chloroflexota.